CUCAAGUCCAGCUGGCUGCUCAGGGCAGACUAGGUGCUGAGAGAGGCAGGCACCUCCAGCAUCCUCUGCUCAGGGAACUAACAAGCCACAUUCUCACGGUGAUCAUUUCCCGCUGUUGAACUUGCUGAACCUAAGCUCUCUAUUAAUUCUCUGUCAAAUGAGCUCCUCUGGGAUAAGCUGUCCUGGAACUGUUAUUCCUCUGCCUUUGGACCCCACCAGCAGCUCCGAACCCCUGCC
This 237-nucleotide long non-coding RNA is filed under the name Cavia porcellus (domestic guinea pig). RNAcentral describes it as "lncRNA (ENSCPOG00000034973.1)". Lineage: Eukaryota; Metazoa; Chordata; Mammalia; Rodentia; Caviidae. The record is from RNAcentral.